AUCCUGUUGAUCGCGCCGGCCGUGAGUGAUAUCGGAGUGGUACUAAGGCAUGCGAGUCGUUGUAGCAUGACAGGUGGAUCGACUCAGUAACAUGUAGUCAAGGUAAUCUAUGGACGUGGAUAACCUCGGGAAACUGAGAAUAACCUGCGAUAGAUCAGUAUGCCUUGAAUGGGUUAUGGUUCAAACAAUGUAUUGCUGUAGGAUGGGAAUGCGGCCUAUCAGCCAGUUGGAGAGGUAAUGGCCCACCAAGGCUAUUACAGGUACGGGCUCUUAGAGGAGAAGCCCGGAGAUGGGUAGUGAGUCACGGAGGCAGGCCAUAUCGGGCGCAGCAGGCGAGAAACCUUAGCAAUGUGCGAAAGCAUGGCUGGGUUAAUACGAGUGAUUUGUGUUGAAGAAAUCUUGUGUCAGUCGUAAACCCACAGAUGAAUACGGGGUGGGCAAGUUUGGUGUCAGGCGGCGCGGUAAUACCAGCACCUCGAGUGGUCAGGAGGUUUAAAGGGCCUAAAGCAUCCGUAGCCGGUAGCGCAAGUCUCCGGUUAAAUCCAGCUGUUCAACAGAUGGGUUUCUGGAGAUACUUCAUAGCUAGGGAGCGGGAGAGGUAGUCGGUCUUCUGUGGGUAGGGGUAAAAUCCGUUGCUCCAUAGAGGGCCACCAGUGGCGAAGGCGGUGCUAUCCAGAACGCGUUUGUCGCUGAGGGAUGAAAGCGGGGGGAGCAAGGCCGGAUUAGAUUUCCGGGUAGGUCCCAGCUGUAAACGAUGCAAACUCGGUGAGGCAUUGGCUUAUGGCCAAUGCAGUGCCGCACGGCAAGCCGUUAAUGUUUGCUCGCCUGGGAAGUAUCGGACGCAAGUCUGCAAUCUUAAAGGAAUUGGCGCGGGAGCAC
Molecule: ribosomal RNA, 879 nt
Filed under: uncultured archaeon
Lineage: Archaea
Description: bacterial SSU rRNA
Rfam family: Archaeal small subunit ribosomal RNA
Source: RNAcentral